Molecule: ribosomal RNA, 490 nt
Filed under: uncultured bacterium
Lineage: Bacteria
Description: partial 16S ribosomal RNA
Rfam family: Bacterial small subunit ribosomal RNA
Source: RNAcentral
AUUGAACGCUGGCGGCAGGCCUAACACAUGCAAGUCGAACGGUAACAGGAAGAAGCUUGCUUCUUUGCUGACGAGUGGCGGACGGGUGAGUAAUGUCUGGGAAGCUGCCUGAUGGAGGGGGAUAACUACUGGAAACGGUAGCUAAUACCGCAUAACGUCGCAAGACCAAAGAGGGGGACCUUCUGGCCUCUUGCCCUCGGAUGUGCCCAGAUGGGAUUAGCUAGUAGGUGGGGUAACGGCUCACCUAGGCGACGAUCCCUAGCUGGUCUGAGAGGAUGACCAGCCACACUGGAACUGAGACACGGUCCAGACUCCUACGGGAGGCAGCAGUGGGGAAUAUUGCACAAUGGGCGCAAGCCUGAUGCAGCCAUGCCGCGUGUAUGAAGAAGGCCUUCGGGUUGUAAAGUACUUUCAGCGGGGAGGAAGGGAGUAAAGUUAAUACCUUUACUCAUUGACGUUACCCGAAGAAGAAGCACCGGCUAACUCCGUG